This 31-nucleotide transfer RNA is filed under the name Artocarpus integer (chempedak). RNAcentral's name for it is "partial tRNA-Phe". The record is from RNAcentral. Lineage: Eukaryota; Viridiplantae; Streptophyta; Magnoliopsida; Rosales; Moraceae.
GUCGGGAUAGCUCAGCUGGUAAGCAGAGAUG